Molecule: transfer RNA, 90 nt
Filed under: Planctomycetota bacterium
Lineage: Bacteria; Pseudomonadati; Planctomycetota
Also listed under: 1 other name
Description: Planctomycetes bacterium (bioreactor metagenome) tRNA-Ser
Rfam family: tRNA
About the family: Transfer RNA (tRNA) molecules are approximately 80 nucleotides in length. Their secondary structure includes four short double-helical elements and three loops (D, anti-codon, and T loops). Further hydrogen bonds mediate the characteristic L-shaped molecular structure. tRNAs have two regions of fundamental functional importance: the anti-codon, which is responsible for specific mRNA codon recognition, and the 3' end, to which the tRNAs corresponding amino acid is attached (by aminoacyl-tRNA synthetases). tRNAs cope with the degeneracy of the genetic code in two manners: having more than one tRNA (with a specific anti-codon) for a particular amino acid; and 'wobble' base-pairing, i.e. permitting non-standard base-pairing at the 3rd anti-codon position.
Source: RNAcentral
GGUGAGAUGCCGGAGUGGCCGAUCGGGCCCGCCUCGAAAGCGGGUAGGCCCGCAAGGGUCUCGGGGGUUCGAAUCCCUCUCUCACCGCCA